This is a non-coding RNA of Hamiltosporidium tvaerminnensis, 72 nucleotides long. The record is from the annotation of a GenBank genome assembly. Lineage: Eukaryota; Fungi; Microsporidia; Dubosqiidae.
GCGUUCCUAGCUCAGUGGGAGAGCGUUAGACUGAAGAUCUAAAGGUCCCGAGAUCGAUACUCGGGGAACGCA